CAGGUAGGAUUGACAGAUUAAGAGCUCUUUCUUGAUUUUGUGGGUAGUGGGCAUGGCCGCUCUUGGUUCGAGUAGUGAUUUGUCUGGUUAAUUCUGAUAUCGGACGAGGCUCUAGCCUACUAAAUAGACGCUCGGAUCAUUCCUAGUCCGGCGUUUCUUCUUAGAGGGACUGGCGGCGUUCAGCCGCACGAGGUUGAGCAAUAGCAGGUCUGUAAUGCCCUUAGAUGUCCUGGGCCACACGCGUGAUACAUUGAAGGAAUCAGCGUGUGCUUUCCCUGUCCGACAGGACUGGGUAACCCGUUGAACCUCCUUCGUGCNNNNNNNNGGGGAUUGAAAUUGUCCCCCUUGAACGAGGAACGCCUAGUAAGUGCGAGUCAUCAUCUCGCGUUGAUUAGGUCCCUGGCCCUUGUCCACACCGCCCGUCGCUAUUACCGAUUGAAUGUCUUAGUGAGGACUUCGGAUUGGCUGUCGAUUUGGCUUUAGGGUCGAGCCGACGUGCCGAAAAGAUGUCCGAACUUGGUCAUUUAGAGGAAAUA
RNAcentral lists this ribosomal RNA (536 nucleotides) under Agyneta ramosa. RNAcentral describes it as "SSU rRNA". It matches the Rfam family "Eukaryotic small subunit ribosomal RNA", at positions 1231 to 1784 of the family's 1831-position model. The record is from RNAcentral. Lineage: Eukaryota; Metazoa; Arthropoda; Arachnida; Araneae; Linyphiidae.